ACGAAAAGAAGUAACGAGGGCGGCAUGGUCAUUAUGUAGCUGAGCUUUUGCUCAUGACUAUGAACACAAAAUGAAUGCCGGGAAUUAUGGCAGAAUUUAAGACCAUCGACCGUCGGAGAUGGAGACGACUAAACCCUAAUAUAAAGGUGAAGCUGUGCUCAAGACGAAUUUAGCAAUACUGUACAGGUAAAUCCGAUCAUAUCUACAAUUGUCAUAUAUUGCUGAUUGCAUACAAUGGAUAAUUUCGCCCUGCCUCCAGCUGACGACAGAAAAGAUAAAAUUAAUACAAAGGGAUGACGAGGAUUGAUAACAUCUAGAUGUGGCGUCACCAAGGUUGAUAGGAGCACUCAUGGUAUAGAUAUGAACCCUGCGGAUGAUUGCCAACCUAUUAGUGGAUAAAAAUUCGAACAGGUAUCAUCAUCAUCAGCAGCAUGGCUGUGUGGAAUUCAAGUUGGCGAGCCGAGCAUAAGGCCGACCUGAGGCAAGAGAUAUUUGUGUACGUGGGGAAACCAAAGGGCAUGGUACCCUGGAGAUAAGUCCAUCCUUCACAGCACAAGCCGCUGGAUGCAGGUGACUGAGCAUCCACACGCUCCCCGGACGUUCGUCAACCUUGACCGAUAAUUGCUGCGGGUGUGAGCAGAGGUUAGACUAAAAUAUAUGUGAACUGUUGACCCAAAGCUUUUAUCUAAAAAUGAUAUGAUGUGAACUGUCCAGGAAUGCAAACUAGAGCCAAGAACAAAACUAAAUGUCAUCAGGUAAGGGCCGUCUGUUUACAGUCCGAGUUCAUUCCAUCGUCCUAAUAAGGAAGAAGGGCAAAAAUAGCCUGACAUUACAUGUUUCGGGAGAUUCACCGUCUGCUCGGCGGAUACAGCACCGCCACUAACAGGAUCUGGUGAAGUCAGGAUCGGGUGAUCAGACCUGUUCUUGACAAUGGCCCACACAGCUUGUCAGGCCAUACAGUAAUGGGCGAGGAGACAGUAAGAUGCGUUUUUCCUGACUGGGAAACGAGAGAUCGUUAGCCACUGGAUCGAUGGGACACAAGGAAACGACUGUCACAAGCUGCUGAUGCAGCGCUGUAAAGAUGGGGGACACUUGCUGGACACUAAACAUCUUCUUGGACAUCCUUUGGGACCUACAGAAGAAUCGCAUGACAACCAACAUUAUUUCAACUGUAGAAAGAACCAGUUCUGCAAUGAGAAACUAGUACUGGUGAAUACUCCAACUGGUCAUAGAAUUCUACUCAAAGACUUUUACAGGUGACAGUUUCUGACUGACUAAAAUUAACGAAACUAACCACAACUUGGAUUUUACACAUUACUCGUGUCGGCGACUCUUUUCUCUUUUUUAUCAAUGCCUAGCAUUUCUGUUGUCUGGUGUUGUAUCUCUGAUUAGUAUCAUUUCUCUGAUUUACAGGUGACAGUAGUUGCUGUAAAUCUGCGUAUUUUCCUUCUUUUUUUUCUUUUUUUUUUUUGCCAUCUUGAUUUCUACCUUCUUUUAUAAAGUGUUUUACAAGUAGAGAUAUUUUUAACACGAGUGGAUGUCGAAACAAAUGAAUCAUGACUCAGCAGGCUCCUUGUUGUUUCCACCACGGAAGUACAUUUCUAUGUCCGUGGUUUUCAUUCAAGACAUCCUUGGGAGUAAGGCGGUGUAUGGUCAACCCAUCAAGCCAAUGCCAGGUGACAGACGAGAAUCAAACAGUCAUUAUAGUCACAGGUGUGAGCAAUCAGUGUGCAGUGAGAGGAUAAAUUACUCACAAAAUGUCUCCUCCUCCUCCACCCUACAUCCACCCACACACUCGUCUCCAUUGCCCUCCUGUGACCAGCUUGUUGCCAUGUGACUGACCCGCUAAGAUCUUGAGAAGCAGGUUUGACAGUGACCUCAACAUGCAACAUGCAGGUGACGGUUUUUCAGAUGCCACUCCGAAAAAAAGUGUUUUUUUUUCGGUCCCUCCCCCUACUCUCAGUGAAUUAUUUCCCUAGCUACUUCAGAGCUUUACAUGUGGCGAGUGUGAAGAAAGUGUGUUACAAGCUGUAAAACUCUCAUUGGCACAGUUUACAGGCCUGAAGAGUGAUGGCGGCUGCUGGAUGGGAAAGAGCAAACGAGCUCAAGAACGAAAGGUUGCUGCUGGUGUCAAGGAGAACAUAAGAAUCUAGUUAGCCACUGUUUGCGGUUAUUUCUGUGUGAAUGGGUGGAGUGGGGUUUGGUAAUGAAGACAGAAAACAACCACAUUUUUCACUCCUUUCUUCUUCCGGGUUGUCUAUCUCGCGCACGCGCACACACACACAGCUAAAGAUCUUGUAGCACGAAUGGUCCUCUUUCCCCAUCCUGUAACUACUACAGCACGUGACCCCAGGGAAUGAAAAGCCAUUCCUGUUUAAUGAAGUGUCAAGGCCAGCGACCAUGAGCAGGCAGAAGAGGCAGAGCCGGUUACUGAGGCCUCCUUAUCUGUCGUCUGCCUCAGCCUCGGUUGCCCUAGCAAGGAUCUGGAACAAGCCCUCCCCUCCAUCCUCCCACAAGCACCGCAAGCCUCCAUUCCCGCCGGGAAAGAUUUUGUCGCUUCGCCAUUGAUGAAGAAAGCUCUGGAAUCGAUUUCUUUUUUUUUUCUGUUUUUUUUU
Pomacea canaliculata is the source of this 2615-nucleotide long non-coding RNA. RefSeq lists it as uncharacterized. NCBI's taxonomy places the organism in Eukaryota, Metazoa, Mollusca, Gastropoda, Architaenioglossa, Ampullariidae. The record is from RefSeq and is a predicted model, not a curated record. The transcript is spliced from 4 exons.